Pogoniulus pusillus (Red-fronted tinkerbird) is the source of this 643-nucleotide long non-coding RNA. RefSeq lists it as uncharacterized. The transcript is spliced from 2 exons. NCBI's taxonomy places the organism in Eukaryota, Metazoa, Chordata, Aves, Piciformes, Lybiidae. The record is from RefSeq and is a predicted model, not a curated record.
CCUCCGCCUGGCGUCCCUGGUGAGUCUCCAUGGUGUGCACUGGGUGAACUGGUGGAGGAUUUCAAAGGCCGGGGGGCCUGGUGGCCCCCCGGCUCGCUAGGGUUAGGCUCAAAAACCAUUGCAAUGUACAACAUCAUCCACGGGUGCUGGGUGUGUGUCCUUGUUGGAGCUGAUUUCUUUUGUAGGGUAUUUUAGCUGUUGGAGGCUCUUGCCUCUGGCUCUGAGCUGACUGUGGAAAUGGUGGUGGAGAAGGAUUGCUCUUCAGGCAAAGUGAGAGUGACUCCUUAUGAGGUUGUUGUUAUGAGUUCAUUACUACAGAAAUGAAGAGCUGCAGUUGAAAUAGCAACUACUGACAGCAGGAAGAAACACAUGAUGCAUUGUGCCUGCAAGUCCUUGAAUCACAAGAAAACACUAGAUCUUAAAAUAUCCAUAUGGAAGACUGGGUUGUACACUCCAGAUAACAAAACUCUUUUAGGAAAUCCAAGAACUAAGAACUGAAGACAUUAUCUGAUCUUUAUUUGUCAUUAUGGGAAGACAGUUUAUUUUGAACAUUCUGGUAAUGUUCUGUCUAUGCACAUGGGUGUAUGUACAUGUAUAUAUAUGAUGUAUACACAUAUUUAAUAAAAUAACAAUCCAUCAUUAA